Molecule: long non-coding RNA, 596 nt
Organism: Coffea eugenioides
Lineage: Eukaryota; Viridiplantae; Streptophyta; Magnoliopsida; Gentianales; Rubiaceae
Exons: 2
Source: RefSeq, a predicted model, not a curated record
CCACGUGUUUGUAUACUUGCAAAGUUGCAAUAGCACUGUUGCUUCUGAUUCCUGUUCAAAAUUCAGCUGUCUUUUUGUGUGAAAUUGAUGGCUUCAUUGGCAUUUUCGUCAGUUUAUUCGGCCCCUAUACAGACUCUGAAAUGCACUUCAAACUCUGAACCAACUUUGGAUCAUCAAAAUCAGCUUUUUUCCGACAUGGGUUUUCUCUUCCAUCUCUUAAUCUUUCAGGGUUUCUGUUAAAGUCUUCAUCUUUCAGCACAAUCAGUGCUAGAGCUGCCACAGAGAACAGCAUUUAUGAUAUCAGAGUGACGAAAAUGCAUACUAACUAAAGAGGAAAAACGGGUCAAAAGGAUGCAAUAUUUAUUCAGGCUAAUUCGUGAGAGUGAUAAUGGUGAUGUCUUGUUCCUAAUGAUGUGUUGGUUGAUUUUUGCUUUAAUCGUCAGUGUCUUUUGGAAUUGUAUCAUGUUUUUCAUGUGGUAAAUAUUGUACAUUAUAUGAUGGUGUUUGGAAUAUUCUCUCUUUGACAAUCGACAUGUGGUAUUCGAAUGCAGUAUUUGUAAAUGGCGCUUUAAAUCUUGAUGUGUUCUUGUGUUAAA